GCCGAAACCCAGCCGAGUCGACUAAGGGCUGACGCCAUGAUAAACAGCGUUUGGAUGCGGCAAGACAGCAAUGCGGAACCACGUUGAGGAUGCGACGAGAACAGCGCCACCCAGCGCCAAUAUAAUGGCACAGCAAAGCAGCCACCGUGGUAUCGGUGGUCGUGGCGAGCUGCAUCAGGAUCGAGGGAUGGGCAGGAUGCAACAGGAACAGCUUUCUGAUGACCGGCUCUGCUGCCACAACAGCCGGGGGGGCCACCUGUGUGUUUAAGACUCACAGUUGCCUUGGUGAUAUUUGUCCGUGCACCGAUUGGCUCGCUGGCCCAGAAGACAAAAGCCGAGAGGCCGGUCGAAGUGGAGACGGCUGCCGUUUCCAAAACAAGACGGGGGCACACGAACUGCGCCGUCC
Molecule: long non-coding RNA, 406 nt
Organism: Hippocampus zosterae (dwarf seahorse)
Lineage: Eukaryota; Metazoa; Chordata; Actinopteri; Syngnathiformes; Syngnathidae
Exons: 3
Source: RefSeq, a predicted model, not a curated record